RNAcentral lists this ribosomal RNA (635 nucleotides) under soil fungal sp. 25-M-1. RNAcentral's name for it is "eukaryotic LSU rRNA". The stretch from base 198 to 351 matches the Rfam family "5.8S ribosomal RNA". Lineage: Eukaryota; Fungi. The record is from RNAcentral.
UUUCCGGGAAAAAAAAGUCGUAACAAGGUUUCCGUAGGUGAACCUGCGGAAGGAUCAUUCAUAAUAAGUGUUUUAUGGCACUUUUUAAAUCCAUAUCCACCUUGUGUGCAAUGUCAGUUGUUCCUUGCGAACAACUAAACAUCAACUCAACUUAACCUUUAGUCUGAAAAAUAUUAUGAAUAACUAAUUCAAAAUACAACUUUCAACAACGGAUCUCUUGGCUCUCGCAUCGAUGAAGAACGCAGCGAAAUGCGAUACGUAAUGUGAAUUGCAGAAUUCAGUGAAUCAUCGAAUCUUUGAACGCAUAUUGCGCUCUUUGGUAUUCCGAAGAGCAUGCUUGUUUGAGUAUCAGUAAACACCUCAAAACUCUUGGUUUUUUCCAUGAGUUUUGGACUUGAGCAAACCCAACGCCUUCUCUCACGAUUUGGCGGCGGGUUGCUUGAAAUGCAGGUGCAGCUGGACAUUCUCCUGAGCUAAAAGCAUAUUUAUUUAGUCCCGUCAAACGGAUUAUUACUUUUGCUGCAGCUAACAUAAAGGGAGUUUUGACCGUAUUGGCUGACUGAUGCAGGAUUUCACAGAGUCGGAAACGAUUCUGUCAAACUCGAUCUCAAAUCAAGUUAGACCUCCCCGUUCUA